This 682-nucleotide ribosomal RNA is filed under the name uncultured Bacilli bacterium. RNAcentral's name for it is "bacterial SSU rRNA". It matches the Rfam family "Bacterial small subunit ribosomal RNA", at positions 65 to 731 of the family's 1533-position model. Lineage: Bacteria; Bacillati; Bacillota; Bacilli. The record is from RNAcentral.
AGUUUUUCUGGUGCUUGCACUAGAAAAACUUAGCGGCGAACGGGUGAGUAACACGUAAAGAACCUGCCUCAUAGACGGGGACAACUAUUGGAAACGAUAGCUAAUACCGGAUAACAGCAUAAAUCGCAUGAUAUAUGUUUAAAAGUUGGUUUCGGCUAACACUAUGAGAUGGCUUUGCGGUGCAUUAGCUAGUUGGUGGGGUAAAGGCCUACCAAGGCGACGAUGCAUAGCCGACCUGAGAGGGUGAUCGGCCACACUGGGACUGAGACACGGCCCAGACUCCUACGGGAGGCAGCAGUAGGGAAUCUUCCGCAAUGGGCGAAAGCCUGACGGAGCAACGCCGCGUGAGUGAAGAAGGAUUUCGGUUCGUAAAGCUCUGUUGUUAGGGAAGAAUGAUUGUAUAGUAACUAUAUACAGUAGAGACGGUACCUAACCAGAAAGCCACGGCUAACUACGUGCCAGCAGCCGCGGUAAUACGUAGGUGGCAAGCGUUGUCCGGAAUUAUUGGGCGUAAAGCGCGCGCAGGUGGUUUAAUAAGUCUGAUGUGAAAGCCCACGGCUCAACCGUGGAGGGUCAUUGGAAACUGUUAAACUUGAGUGCAGGAGAGAAAAGUGGAAUUCCUAGUGUAGCGGUGAAAUGCGUAGAGAUUAGGAGGAACACCAGUGGCGAAGGCGGCUUUUUG